AUUACUCCUACGGGAGGCAGCAGUAAGGAAUAUUGGGCAAUGGAGGGAACUCUGACCCAGCAACGCCGCGUGAAGGAUGAAGGCCCUCUGGGUUGUAAACUUCUGUUGUAUAGGAAAAAGAAGUGAUGGUACUAUACGAGGAAGCCACGGCUAACUCCGUGCCAGCAGCCGCGGUAAUAAUC
RNAcentral lists this ribosomal RNA (182 nucleotides) under uncultured bacterium. RNAcentral's name for it is "partial 16S ribosomal RNA". It matches the Rfam family "Bacterial small subunit ribosomal RNA", at positions 332 to 526 of the family's 1533-position model. The record is from RNAcentral.